Molecule: long non-coding RNA, 1816 nt
Organism: Cygnus olor (mute swan)
Lineage: Eukaryota; Metazoa; Chordata; Aves; Anseriformes; Anatidae
Exons: 2
Source: RefSeq, a predicted model, not a curated record
UGCCCCUCAUUUCCUGCUGGGAGCCAGCAAAGCCCAGCACUGCCCAACAUUUAGGGCUGCUCCAGCAUUUUCAGCUGCUCCUUGGCACUGGACUCCUCACCCCAAGGAUCCCGAGUCCCAGCACCUUUUGGGUGGCUGCUGAGCUCCCUCCCACAGCUUGCACAGGGAACUAAGUCCUGCUGGAGCUGCGAGACGUCGUGCAUCACUGUGGGCUGGUGUAAGCUGGGGAUCCCUAUUUUUCCAUUGGGAAUGACACUGUCCUGCAUGAUAAAAACACCACCAAAGAAACAUUGCUCCUGUAGCUCUUUCUUUGCCCUGGUGCAAGCAACGUGGACAAACGCGCCUGUGGGGUCCCUGCUUUGGCCAGCUCCCUGCGUCAGCACUUGUGGCGUGGUGGCACCAGGUGGCAGCAAGUGACCGGCGUGGGGAGAGGCUGCAGCACCCAGGGGAGCAGGGGUGGCCUCGGUGCUCCUGCACCCGCUGCACGCUCAGCAGCAGGGCCCCGGGCCUCCCCCAGAACGUCCAGGCACCGUUUGCGGGUCCCGCUGGAGCCCAUUUGGUGUUCGGUCCUUGCUGCAUGCCCCGGCUGGGCUGGCUCCUGGGGGAGCGUUUGCAGAGUCGAGGAAGCGAUACGAUGUCAACAAGCGGAUCUAAGAUGUUGCCCAAAUCUAUUUUUGUAGGGGUCGGAAAUAACUCCCUCUGGCCGGGGGAAGGCAGAGCACAUGUGUGCUUGGCCCUGCGCAUCGCUGACGGGGAGGAGGAGCUGCCCCUGUCCCCGUGCCCACUCCCCACCCUCUCCUGGCUGGGUGCCGAUGCCCUACAAGAGCACAGGGUCCAGCUGGGCUCUGCCGGGAGCUGGGUGUCCCAUGGCACCCACCUGCACCUCACCCAUCCCAGGGCAAAGCCCAGCUCCCGCCUCGCCUUCAGAGCUGGCUGCACUCGGGGUCAAAUUCUGUCCUUCCACGAGAUGUCCAGACUUUGAAGUUUAUGGACAAGUCAGCUCUGACAGGGGUUAACUCAUUAACUUGUGCUGAGACUGAAAGCAAAGCCCUUGGUGCUCCUGGGGCGUGAAGGCUGCUUCUCCAAGCUCUGGCUGGGAACGGGACACCAGGACGGGUGGGAGGCCGAGAGCCGGGGGUGCUGGCCCACAGCAAAAUUUUGGCUUCAGCUGAGCGCGGAGCCUGGGCCGGCCCAGCUCUGGAGCACGCGUGCACGGAGCUGGCACGCGGCAAAUGUGAUCAACAACCUCUUCCUGUUGUGCAACCGCCGCUAGCAGCCCACGUAGAGAAUUUUUGGGAGAUUUGUCAGGCCUUUUGUGCUUCCAGAUAGUGUUUAUUUGCUCGUUUCAGGUCUUGCUUUCAGAAGGGAGGGAUUCAAACAGCGCAGGCCGAGGCACGAAGCGCUGCCAUGAGCCCCGCCACCCUUGUCCUGGCCGCGGCGUCCCCGUGCGUGGCUCUGCGCUCCUGCUGGCCCCGCGGCCGAGCUUUGGCACAAACGUUAUUUACAUUUUCACCAGGCAGCCUUCACGUGGUCCUGCCCUUAUAUAAUAGUUUAACCCGGGACAUGGGGCUGCUCAACCAUCCCUGCCCACGCUGGGGGACCCUGGGCUUUGGUACCAGCCCCCCCCCACCCCCAGGCCCUGUGUGGCACUGCUGAGCUCGACCCCUGCCACGUGGGCCCGUGUGAGUUCUGCCUGUGGGGCUUUGGGCUGGGACGUGAGCCCCUCUGUGCUCCCACACCUGCCCCUUCCCUGCCUUCCCCAGCCUGGGUUUUGGCCUGAUCCCCUCCUGGAUCGUCCUGGGGUGAUCCGGCUGGC